RNAcentral lists this transfer-messenger RNA (392 nucleotides) under Bacteroidota bacterium. It matches the Rfam family "transfer-messenger RNA". Rfam says of the family: Bacterial tmRNA, also known as 10Sa RNA or SsrA, is named for its dual tRNA and mRNA-like properties. Its role is to liberate the mRNA from a stalled ribosome. The record is from RNAcentral. Lineage: Bacteria; Pseudomonadati; Bacteroidota.
GGGGCUGGAUUUGGUUUUGACAGCAAUGUGAUGGGUAGGUAAGCAUGUUGAGCCAGGUAACAAGACUCAUUAAUCCGGGUUACAAAACAAUAAAAGGCGAAAACAAUUACGCGCUUGCUGCUUAGUCUUUAGAAGGCUAUGCUUAAUCCCGGUACCAGGUACUGGGACAAGCUGUCUCUCAGAAACCUUGUUUGGCGGUUUCUGGCUCAGAGGCACUCGUGAGACAAACUAGUUCGAAAAGAGUCCUGAUUUUCGGGCGAAUUUAAAAGGAAUAAGGUUUAGGUAGGCUGCCUGCUACCAGCCUAAACACGAAAAACAAUAGCAAGCUAUGCAUGUAGAAAGCUUACUGGUUAGUUGUUUGGACGAGGGUUCGACUCCCUCCAGCUCCACAA